CAGUAAUUGUUGGUCCUUCAACUGUAUUAAUUGAACACCGUAUGUUAACAACAAUCAGUAAGAAGGUGACCUCUUCUACAGUUAAUCUGUGAUCAGAAUAAAUGUUCCUCAGUGAAGAAAAUGAGAUUUUCUCAUCUAGCUGUGGAUCCACAGAAGGUCAACUCAUGUUUUAAUGCAGUGCAGACAACAACCAUGGAGUCCAAAACACUGACAUAGGUAGGAAGAAGCUGGUCAACAGUCAGAGCUUCAGCACCCUGGACAGCUCUAUGACUUCAAAAUAACUGAUGAGCAGCUGGAAACUCUGCCUCAUUUAUUGGAGUCUUUGUUAAAUCCAGGAAUGGUUUGACUUUACCUGAGUCCAAGAAGGUCUCACUGUGAGGAUCCAAAGCUCUGAAAGCUUCCAUGUAUUUGUGACUCUCUCUGUUCUCUAACUAACCUGGAUCAUUCUGACGUUUUCCAUUAGAUGCCAAAUAAGGAACCAACUCUUAAAGUAAAUAUAAUAUAUAAUUAGCUGCAUGAACAACUGAUCAGAGUUUUGAUGACACCAGGAUCAAUAUUCUUGAAGAGAAAUUAACAUCUCAAACACGAUACGUCACAUAUAGUCAGUCUCCACAUGUCUAUGGAACAUAAAACGUCUCUUAACAUUUGCAUUCAACCAAGCAGCUAAAAAUAAUGAUCAGAAUCAGAGCUGCUGAGCAGCUUUCUGAGAAGGCAAAGAGGAAACAAACAUGGCCGACCACAAACAAGAGCAGCUGAGCGUUUUUACACUAUGAUUUAUUCACGUUUUAUGUCUGACAAUAUUAUUUAACUCACAGUGUUGAACUUGACAGUGUUUUCAUUCAUGUUAUUUAUUUCAUAAGCAGACUGCCACUAAAAAGACAUCCUUUAGUCCCGAUCCAUACAGAGUUGUUCCUUUUUCACAGCUUUUGUUCACUUAUUGUUAAAUUCUGACAUCUGAUCAGAAGAGAUGAGAUUUCUUAUGAAUUGCUGGAAGGUUUAAACCGUGACGACCAGAAAGCCAAAGAUGCAACAGCAGCUACAUUAUGCAAGAUCAGAUGAAGCUGAGCAAAGAAAGUGAAGGUUGUUUUUUAACAUAUAUUAUAUUUACAUAAAUUCUGAAAUAGGUUGUCUCAAUAAAAACUGCUCCUCUUGGUGGAUGUUUAACAGCUGGUCUUCCUUUCCAGGACCCUAAAAUUAGGACUUAUUUAAAAUCAGAUAAUAAAAAGAUAUAUUUCAUAACUAAAUACCAUCAUAAACUUUAAACAAUAAAACAUCUCAGGAUGAGAGGAAAUUAUCAUGGUUUUUGGGGCCAAGAAAAAACCAAAUAUAAUUUAAAACUGCAGCAACUAAUAUGAACUAAUAUGAACAAACUUAACUAAUGUCCUUGAUAAAAACUUCAGUCAGUCACCAUUUCUUCUUGUUAGACUUUCCAAGAGCUCUGGAGAAUAAUUCAAACAUGUGACUUUAAUGUUUGGGCCUUUAUUAGACUGAUCCUGGUAGAGACGGUCAGGAUAUUUACUUCCUGAAACACGUGUGGACGCCUCAACACACCUUCUACACCUCAGCUGAUGGAGAAAAACACUCUUUAACACACGUUAGAACCUAAAGUCAAAGUUUUUACAGAUAUCAGUUUAGAAGAACUUUUUAUUGAGUGUUAAUGUUAAGCAUUCCUGACACAAAACAUCACCAGAGUCAAAGUCUGCCCUGGGAUUUGUAGUUCUCAGACUUUGGUUUGGUUUCAGAUGAAGAUCGUCUGUCCAGGAAGAUAAGUAUCUCAGACACCGUCUCUCUCCAGACAGCCUUAGACCAUGAGUCCAGUUCUGAUCCUCAGGUUUGGUUCUGUGUGUCUAAGUUUAACCGUUCAUCUCCACAUUUACUGAUGUUUCACUUUGUGCUCUGCAGAAACCUCAGACUGAUCAUCUUUGAGACGCUGGAGAACACCAUUGGUAAAAUGUUUCAUCUCCUACAUGCAUGUUGUCAUGAUUUGUUUCUGCAUUUCUUAGAGACGUUGUCUUUCUUUUAGAGGAUAGAGGACCUGUGGAGGAGGAGGAAAGGAGGAAGAGGAUGCAGGUGGUGGAGAGGUUUCAGACAGCUCCUUCUGAGGAAAUAGCAGCUCUCUGUGGAUCCAGGGUCAUCAGUUGGUACCAGAACCUCAAUCUAAAAAUGAACCUUUUUGGAAGAUCUUGGUCAGACUGGAAUCUUUACCUCAUUGCUUCAGUCCAAACUAGAUCAGGUCUUUGAUCUGAUUGUUCGUCCUCCUCCGUCUCCAUCUGGACAAUCGUCUCGUCGUUGGACGCCGAUCUAUGAGAUGAACUUUCCUGACCUCUGUGUGUAUUAGAGACUCAACAGGAUGACCUGGAUCAUUAUGAAGCAUCUGAUGUUGUGUUCAAGGAACAGAGGACAGAACAACUGAGGACUGGAAACAUGUAGCAUGAGUCAUGUUUUGUGUUCAUAGAAGAAGUUUUUCUCAGUGGCUGUUUUGUUCCUCUGAGAAAGAUUUAGUUUUGUGUUGAUCUCAGUAUUUCCCAGUUUUAUGUUUCAUUUAGUUGUGAUUCUUGAAGUGUGAUUGUCAAAAAGAAAACUUCAUUUUAAAUCAUGUUGAACUAAUUCAACUUUAACUGUCCUUUUAUUUAGUUUUGUCCCUAAACUUUAAACCAACUUUUUAUUAUUCUGAAACAUUGCUGAUAAACUGUUGGAGAUGAUGAUCUCAGAGUGGAAAGUUUGAACCAUGUUUCAUGUAUCAUGUGUGACCUGGUAGAUCAAGGUGUUGGUUAGUAUGAACUGCAUGGGCUUCAUCUAAAACCAACUGUGUCAGGGUUUAAACGCAGCAAACUGGAGGAAGGACAGACAGGGUAUGAAACACAGAAAACAUCUGAUUCAUGGAGACACUGAUCAAGAAUGAUCAUAUCUGUGCAGCGUCCCAACUCAGUUACCUUCUGCUACAACUAAUCUGUCCACUAGAGGGAGCACAGAUACUUCCACAGGUUCUGCUUCAAACUUAAAGAUGAAAUAACUGCAUUCAGUGUUAUUUGACUACUUUGUUAAAUCUUUGAAUAAAGAAAUGUCUGUUUUUA
RNA transcript from Girardinichthys multiradiatus, 3074 nucleotides. It is a transcript of the gene named protein EFR3 homolog B-like, with no coding region annotated. The transcript is spliced from 3 exons. Lineage: Eukaryota; Metazoa; Chordata; Actinopteri; Cyprinodontiformes; Goodeidae. The record is from RefSeq and is a predicted model, not a curated record.